Molecule: ribosomal RNA, 494 nt
Filed under: uncultured bacterium
Lineage: Bacteria
Description: partial 16S ribosomal RNA
Rfam family: Bacterial small subunit ribosomal RNA
Source: RNAcentral
ACGAACGCUGGCGGCGUGCCUCAUACAUGCAAGUAGAACGCUGAAGGAGGAGCUUGCUUCUCUGGAUGAGUUGCGAACGGGUGAGUAACGCGUAGGUAACCUGCCUGGUAGCGGGGGAUAACUAUUGGAAACGAUAGCUAAUACCGCAUAAGAGUAGAUGUUGCAUGACAUUUGCUUAAAAGGUGCAAUUGCAUCACUACCAGAUGGACCUGCGUUGUAUUAGCUAGUUGGUGGGGUAACGGCUCACCAAGGCGACGAUACAUAGCCGACCUGAGAGGGUGAUCGGCCACACUGGGACUGAGACACGGCCCAGACUCCUACGGGAGGCAGCAGUAGGGAAUCUUCGGCAAUGGACGGAAGUCUGACCGAGCAACGCCGCGUGAGUGAAGAAGGGUUUCGGAUCGUAAAGCUCUGUUGUAAGAGAAGAACGAGUGUGAGAGUGGAAAGUUCACACUGUGACGGUAGCUUACCAGAAAGGGACGGCUAACUACGUG